This is a long non-coding RNA of Saccostrea echinata, 1073 nucleotides long. RefSeq lists it as uncharacterized. The transcript is spliced from 5 exons. The record is from RefSeq and is a predicted model, not a curated record. Lineage: Eukaryota; Metazoa; Mollusca; Bivalvia; Ostreida; Ostreidae.
UGUUCGGUACCACAUAACAUGCGAGAAUACCUUCUCCAGUAUGUUGGAGAGAAGAUUAGCAAGAAAAAGGCGGGUGAGAAAAUGAGAAGUUGACAGAAAAAGAUUUUUUUCAUUAUCGAAAGGGACAUGUACAACAUCCAUAAUGGUGUGUCUGAUGGAAUUUGUCAUUUCAUUAAUAAAUAAUGCUGAUAAAGAUGCAAACUUAGCAAUUGUGCCUAAAAAGUGACAGCUUUGACAAGGAAAUAUAUCCAUAUAUAACAGUUACUGGUACUGUCUGAAUGCAGUGAAAGGAUCCAGAUGAACAGAUGAAGAGAUUAAGUACAAUGUACAUCAUUCAAAUACUUGGAUGAAGAGAAUCUGCAACAUGGGGAAAUAAUGUUCCUGUAGAAAAGUCAAAGAAUGUAUACAUGUGAGAUUCUGAAGUAGCUGUACAUGAUGAGUAGGAAUUUGAAGUGAAUUAUGGGAAAAGUGAAAUGGUAAAAAAGAAACUGCUAGCGCUACUGUGCAGACUACCAUCAAUCAACAUGAUCAACAAAAUCAAGUAAUCCUUCUGAAGAUGGAGUACUACACAAGCACAAUUUUUUAAAGAAAGAAAAGUCAAUGGAAUGAAAGCCAAAGAAAAGGUGAAGUGAAUUGUCACUCAUUAUAUUUUAAAUUUAAUGUGGACAUGGUCAUUAUUUUAGUUAUGUCAUAACCUUCUAAUCAAUUUUAAGCAGUGCAGACAGAUGCAUUUCUUAUUGCUUUGAAUAGAAUAAAUUAUCAAAAAAGUUUGUAUAUGUUUUUUGAUAUUGAAUUAAAAUUAAAAAAAAAAAAAACAAAUUAUCAAUUACUGCAGUUUUGAAUUUCAGUACACUAGAAAUUUUUCUGCCCUGCCAUGAAUAUGGCUGGGGCAUAUAGAGUUUGUCAUGUCCGUCUUCCGUCCUUCCAACCUUCUGUCUGUCCUUCCAUUCCGCUUUGCUUUUAGCUCAGUUCAAAACUAAGUUUCAAAGAAACUAUUCAAGAUAUUUUUAUCAAUCUUCAUAUGCUGAUACAUAUUGAUGAGAGGUAUUCAAUUUCAUCAAUAUUUUUUUUAC